Molecule: ribosomal RNA, 1437 nt
Filed under: metagenome
Description: bacterial SSU rRNA
Rfam family: Bacterial small subunit ribosomal RNA
Source: RNAcentral
AGAGUUUGAUCCUGGCUCAGGAUGAACGCUGGCGGCAUGCCUAACCUAUGCAAGUCGAACGAGGCUUUGAGCCGAGUGGCGGACGAGUGAGUAACACGUACCUAAUCUGCCUGUAAGUGGGGAAUAACUGCCCGAAAGGGUAGCUAAUACCGCAUGUGCUCUACGGAGUAAAGCUUUUGCGCUUACAGAUGAGGGUGCGUCCUAUCAGCUAGUUGGUGAGGUAAUAGCUCACCAAGGCUAUGACGGGUAGCUGGUCUGAGAGGAUGAUCAGCCACGCUGGGACUGAGAUACGGCCCAGACUCCUACGGGAGGCAGCAAGUGGGAAUAUUGCACAAUGGACGAAAGUCUGAUGCAGCGAUGCCGCGUGGGGGAUGAAGGUUUUCGGAUCGUAAACCCCUUUUAUCGAUCAGGAAGAUAUGACCAGUCGAUGAAUAAGCACCUGCUAACUACGUGCCAGCAGCCGCGGUAAUACGUAGGGUGCAAGCGUUAUCCGGAAUUAUUGGGCGUAAAGAGUUGCGUAGGCGGACUAUCAAGUUUUUGGUGAAAUCCUUCGGCUUAACCGGAGAACUGCCAAGAAUACUGGUAGACUUAGAGGGAAUCAGGGGGUACUGGAACUCGUGGUGUAGCAGUCAAAUGCGUUGAUAUCACGAGGAACACCAAAGGCGAAGGCAGGUACCUGGGAUUCACCUGACGCUAAGGCACGAAAGCGUGGGGAGCGAAACGGAUUAGAUACCCGUGUAGUCCACGCCGUAAACGAUGGAUACUAGAUGCUUGGGGUAUUGACCCCCUGGGCGUCGCAAGCUAACGCGUUAAGUAUCCCGCCUGGGGAGUACGGUCGCAAGACUAAAACUCAAAGGAAUUGACGGGGGACCGCACAAGCGGUGGAGCGCGUGGUUUAAUUCGAUGUUAAGCGAAGAACCUUACCGAGGUUUGACAUGCUACUGCAAAGCCUAUGAAAGUAGGCCUCCUUCGAGGGUGUAGCACAGGUGUUGCACGGCUGUUGUCAGCUCGUGUCGUGAGAUGUUGGCUUAAGUGCUAUAACGAGCGCAACCCCUGUGAUAAGUUGUAUCACUCUUAUCAGACUGCCUGCACUUAUGUGCAGGAGGAAGGCGGGGACGACUUCAAGUCAUCGUGGCCCUUAUACCUCGGGCUACACACGCGCUACAAUGGUAGAUAACAACGAGUUGCAAGUCAGCGAUGACAAGCUAAUCUCUUAAACUCUAUCUCAGUCCGGAUUGCAGGCUGAAACUCGCCUGCAUGAAGUUGGAAUCGCUAGUAAACGUGGGUCAGCACACCGCGUUGAAUACGUUCUCGGUCCUUGUACACACCGCCCGUCAAGUUGGGAAAGUUAGGGGCACCCGAAGACCCAUUAGCAAAGCCGGAAGGAAGCGUGGGUCGAAGGUGAAACUAGCGAUCAAAGCUAAGUCGUAACAAGGU